Molecule: ribosomal RNA, 498 nt
Filed under: uncultured bacterium
Lineage: Bacteria
Description: bacterial SSU rRNA
Rfam family: Bacterial small subunit ribosomal RNA
Source: RNAcentral
CUGGCGGCGUGCCUAACACAUGCAAGUCGAACGGAGAUUAGACGCUGACGAGACUUCGGUCAAAUCUGUUUAAUCUUAGUGGCGGACGGGUGAGUAACGCGUGGGCAACCUGCCUCAUACUGGGGGAUAGCAGUUGGAAACGACUGAUAAUACCGCAUAAGCGCACAGCAUCGCAUGAUGCAGUGUGAAAAACUCCGGUGGUAUGAGAUGGGCCCGCGUCAGAUUAGCUAGUUGGUAAGGUAACGGCUUACCAAGGCGACGAUCUGUAGCCGGACUGAGAGGUCGGACGGCCACAUUGGGACUGAGACACGGCCCAAACUCCUACGGGAGGCAGCAGUGGGGGAUAUUGCACAAUGGAGGAAACUCUGAUGCAGCGACGCCGCGUGAAGUGAAGAAGUAUUUCGGUAUGUAAAGCUCUAUCAGCAGGGAAGAAAGACUCGCAAGAGAGAUGACGGUACCUGACUAAGAAGCCCCGGCUAACUACGUGCCAGCCGCCGC